Molecule: ribosomal RNA, 433 nt
Filed under: uncultured bacterium
Lineage: Bacteria
Description: partial 16S ribosomal RNA
Rfam family: Bacterial small subunit ribosomal RNA
Source: RNAcentral
AACGAACGCUGGCGGCAUGCCUAACACAUGCAAGUCGAACGAGACCUUCGGGUCUAGUGGCGCACGGGUGCGUAACGCGUGGGAACCUUCCCUUAGGUUCGGAAUAACUCCCCGAAAGGGGUGCUAAUACCGGUUAAUUUCUUCGGACCAAAGAUUUAUCGCCUUUGGAUGGGCCCGCGUUGGAUUAGCUUGUUGGUAGGGUAAAAGCCUACCAAGGCGACGAUCCAUAGCUGGUCUGAGAGGAUGAUCAGCCACACUGGGACUGAGACACGGCCCAGACUACUACGGGAGGCAGCAGUGGGGAAUAUUGGAAAAUGGGCGAAAGCCUGAUACAGCAAUGCCGCGUGAGUGAUGAAGGCCUUAGGGUUGUAAAGCUCUUUUACCCGGGAUGAUAAUGACAGUACCGGGAGAAUAAGCUCCGGCUAACUCCGUG